UACGUAGGGCGCAAGCGUUGUCCGGAAUUAUUGGGCGUAAAGAGCUCGUAGGCGGUCUGUUACGUCCGCUGUGAAAACCCAGGGCUUAACCCUGGGCUUGCAGUGGAUACGGGCAGACUAGAGGCAGGUAGGGGAGAAUGGAAUUCCCGGUGUAGCGGUGAAAUGCGCAGAUAUCGGGAGGAACACCGGUGGCGAAGGCGGUGCUCUGGGCCUGUCCUGACGCUGAGGAGCGAAAGCGUGGGGAGCGAACAGG
Molecule: ribosomal RNA, 253 nt
Filed under: uncultured bacterium
Lineage: Bacteria
Description: partial 16S ribosomal RNA
Rfam family: Bacterial small subunit ribosomal RNA
Source: RNAcentral